AUUGUUUUCAAUAAUACUCUACCUUGCCACAAGAAAAAAAAAUGAAGUGACAUUUAUAAACAUUUCCGUGUUUUGCAAUUCCGUUUCUUUAAGAAUUUUAAAUGAUUGAUAAUUUAUCGCCCUUUGAAUCGACACGCCAUUUGUAAACAUCGAAGGUCGCGGAGAAAAUGAAACUACCAAAAACAAUUAUUUGAUGAUUUAUUUCGAUUGUAUAAAGAAUGACAGUUAGCGAAUCUCAAGAUCAACCACUGAGGAUUGUUUGGCUUGAUGCAAUGACCUUAAACAGUGAAAAGAUUUUCCAGGAAGGUCUAUACACAACAAGCUGGAUUUUAUGGGGAUUUAGAUGAAAGAACUAUGAAUAUGUGAAUGGGAAUGAAACAGAAGGAAUUUAUAUGUUCUACUGAUCAUCCAGCUGAACUCAUGCCUGUGGAAUAGAGUGCAUGUCACAAAUACUGAUAUGAGCAACUAACUCCAUAUUGCACAAAUAAUGUCAUGUUUCCUGCCCUCAUGACCUGAAAAAGUUAAAAAUUCUAGUUCAAAUUACAAAUGUGUUUCAAGAAAAAGUAAAACUUAGUCAACUGUGAGAAAUAUUGGGUAAAAGUAGUGUUUUGAUGUCAUGACAGCUGUGAAGUUGUUUGAGAAGCACUAUUGUUCUAACAAUACAGAAUUUACAUAAAUUUUUCCAAAACUGCAUGCAUGAAAUACUAAGACAUGUCUGUUGAAUGAAUCCUAGUUGUUUCAAAACUACAACAUGUGUGACAUUAAAGCACAACCUUUGGAGGAAACAUUUUUACAAUAAAAACUGCCUUGCCAGUGUGAGUGUAGGAAGGAUUUUUCCAGAAAUGGCAGAAAACUACCAAUAUAGCAGAAAAAUAUUUGUUACUGGCUGAAUAUAAUAUAUUUUAUUUCAAGAAUUAAUCAUGUUAAUCCAUGGUUAUAAUUGUGUUAAAAGAUAUUUUUACAUGACAUGACCUUUGCAGAAAUAGCUA
This is a long non-coding RNA of Mercenaria mercenaria, 989 nucleotides long. RefSeq lists it as uncharacterized. NCBI's taxonomy places the organism in Eukaryota, Metazoa, Mollusca, Bivalvia, Venerida, Veneridae. The transcript is spliced from 3 exons. The record is from RefSeq and is a predicted model, not a curated record.